AGGGAUGUCGCACAUGAGGAAAUGACUGCCGCUACCGUGGAGAUGGGAGAAGUCAUCGAUGACUUGGGUGUUGGGCUCAUGCCCGAUGCUUCGCCAUCCUUACGCUCAAGAAUUGCUACAUUUCCCGAUGAGCCCUGAUGCAUCCAACACAGAUAACCAGGACCAGAGUGCCGAUAGUGAUAUGAACAGAGAGAGUAGUUCCUUAUUCAAAUUUCAGACCACUGCUGCAUCUACUGCUUGCACACCAUUAAAUCAGCAAAGAGUCUACAAGGCUUUGAAAAAAAAAAACAGGCA
This is a long non-coding RNA of Saccostrea cuccullata (small rock oyster), 294 nucleotides long. RefSeq lists it as uncharacterized. The record is from RefSeq and is a predicted model, not a curated record. The transcript has 3 exons. NCBI's taxonomy places the organism in Eukaryota, Metazoa, Mollusca, Bivalvia, Ostreida, Ostreidae.